CUACGGGUUGCAGCAGUGGGGAAUAUUGGACAAUGGGGGAAACCCUGAUCCAGCAAUGCCGCGUGUGUGAAGAAGGCCUGCGGGUUGUAAAGCACUUUCGGUUGGGAUGACUGCUUCUAGCACUAAUAUUGUUGGAAGUUGACGUUACCUUCAGAAGAAGCACCGGCUAACUCCGUGCCAGCAGCCGCGGUAAUACGGAGGGUGCAAGGGUUAAUCGGAAUUACUGGGCGUAAAGCGCGCGUAGGCGGCUAGAUCAGUCGGGUGUGAAAGCCCCGGGCUUAACCUGGGAACUGCAUCCGAUACUGUCUAGCUUGAGUACAGGAGAGGAGAGUGGAAUUCCAGAUGUAGCGGUGACAUGCGUAGAUAUGUGGAGGAACACCAAUGGCGAAGGCAGCUCUCUGGCCUGAUACUGACGCUGAGGUGCGAAAGCGUGGGGAGCAAACAGGAUUAGAUACCCCUGUAGUC
This 465-nucleotide ribosomal RNA is filed under the name uncultured bacterium. RNAcentral describes it as "partial 16S ribosomal RNA". It matches the Rfam family "Bacterial small subunit ribosomal RNA", at positions 339 to 795 of the family's 1533-position model. The record is from RNAcentral.